UCGAUAGAGGCGCGGGAGCCCAUCAGUAACGCCGAACAGCCCCUCCAAGGGCGCGGACGCGGCGCGAAAGGGGGCCUCGCCGAAAUCCGGCCCGCUUGGAGGCGCGCCGGGUUGGGGAAUCGCGGAACACGCGGUUCACUGUCGCGAGCUUUGCUCGUGGAGCGCUAUCU
Molecule: non-coding RNA, 170 nt
Filed under: bovine gut metagenome
Description: Lysine riboswitch
Rfam family: Lysine riboswitch aptamer
About the family: Riboswitches are metabolite binding domains within certain messenger RNAs that serve as precision sensors for their corresponding targets. Allosteric rearrangement of mRNA structure is mediated by ligand binding, and this results in modulation of gene expression.
Source: RNAcentral